Erpetoichthys calabaricus (reedfish) is the source of this 721-nucleotide non-coding RNA. Lineage: Eukaryota; Metazoa; Chordata; Cladistia; Polypteriformes; Polypteridae. The record is from the annotation of a RefSeq genome assembly.
ACCCGUGUCACUGCUGUGCUGCACUGCGCCCCCGUCUGGUGUUGUUGGUGUGUUGCUUUCUGUUCGUUUUCGGCCCGCGAGUGCAGGAACUCGGAGCUCAUUGGCCAGAGUGUUGCUUCAUUUGCAUACUGGUCAGCAGCCCCUGCUAUAACCGCCGCGGCCGGAGGCGCCUGCGUAGAGCGAAGACGACGUCUGCCCGCCAUGAGGACGCCGCUGCUGCUCGCCUUCUACGGGGUACUCUGGGUCAGCUGUGUGUGUGUCCAUCCUGACUCCGUAACCUUGUUUGGGACGGGCACGCAGCUCAUGGUGGCAGGCCCUCAACAGCCUACCCUCCUGAUUUUCCAGCCCUCGGCCGAGGAGAUGACCACCCGCGGAACGGCCACCUUGCUGUGUGUGGUCAGCGACCUGUCAACACCUUUUGCCCCAGUGAGCUGGACGGCCGAGGGCUGCAGCCCGAGCCUCAUGGGGAGAAGCAGCGCCCCCUUCAGACAGCCUGAUGGCACCUUCGCCAUGAGCAGCAGCCUCACCGUGCCGGCCGCCCACUGGAGGGAGGGCUGCGUCUUCGCUUGCACCGUCCAGCAGGGAGAGCGGAGGGUCCAAGUCCGCCUACGACGGUCCGAGUGCUGGGUGUCCGUCCAGAAAGAAAAGUGAGGUCUUCAUAUCCUACGACCACUCUGGGCAGCUGCCUUCGAAGGCGCUUUGACCGGCACUAUAGCGCCUU